CCGCGACCCCAGGUCAGGCGGGACUACCCGCUGAGUUUAAGCAUAUAAAUAAGCGGA
Molecule: ribosomal RNA, 57 nt
Filed under: Eriachne helmsii
Lineage: Eukaryota; Viridiplantae; Streptophyta; Magnoliopsida; Poales; Poaceae
Description: partial 28S ribosomal RNA
Source: RNAcentral